ACGUAGGGAGCAAGCGUUGUCCGGAAUUACUGGGCGUAAAGGGUGCGUAGGCGGCUUAUUAAGUUAUUAGUGAAAUACCCGGGCUUAACCUGGGGGGUGCUAGUAAAACUGAUAGGCUUGAGUUCGGGAGAGGAAAGUGGAAUUCCUAGUGUAGCGGUGGAAUGCGUAGAUAUUAGGAGGAACACCAGUGGCGAAGGCGACUUUCUGGACCGACACUGACGCUGAGGCACGAAAGCGUGGGGAGCAAACAG
RNAcentral lists this ribosomal RNA (251 nucleotides) under uncultured bacterium. Its description in RNAcentral is "partial 16S ribosomal RNA". It matches the Rfam family "Bacterial small subunit ribosomal RNA", at positions 525 to 775 of the family's 1533-position model. The record is from RNAcentral.